GCGGAUGUGGCGGAAUUGGCAGACGCGCUGGCUUCAGGUGCCAGUGACCGCAAGGUCGUGGAGGUUCGAGUCCUCUCAUCCGCA
This 84-nucleotide transfer RNA is filed under the name Phycisphaerales bacterium. Its description in RNAcentral is "tRNA-Leu". It matches the Rfam family "tRNA". Rfam says of the family: Transfer RNA (tRNA) molecules are approximately 80 nucleotides in length. Their secondary structure includes four short double-helical elements and three loops (D, anti-codon, and T loops). Lineage: Bacteria; Pseudomonadati; Planctomycetota; Phycisphaerae; Phycisphaerales. The record is from RNAcentral.